RNAcentral lists this ribosomal RNA (402 nucleotides) under bacterium. Its description in RNAcentral is "partial 16S ribosomal RNA". It matches the Rfam family "Bacterial small subunit ribosomal RNA", at positions 355 to 776 of the family's 1533-position model. The record is from RNAcentral.
UGGGGAAUUUUGCACAAUGGGGGAAACCCUGAUGCAGCGACGCCGCGUGAUUUAGAAGGCCUUCGGGUUGUAAAAAUCUUUUUUACGGGAUGAAAAUGACAGUACCGUAAGAAUAAGGUCCGGCUAAAUACGUGCCAGCAGCCGCGGUAAUACGUAUGGACCGAGCGUUGUCCGGAAUCAUUGGGCGUAAAGGGUACGUAGGCGGCCUAGUAAGUUAGAAGUGAAAUAAUAUAGCUCAACUAUAUAAAGCUUUUAAAACUGCUAGGCUUGAGAGAUGGAAGGGAAAGUCGAAUUCCUAGUGUAGCGGUGAAAUGCGCAGAUAUUAGGAAGAAUACCGGUGGCGAAGGCGACUUUCUGGUCAUCAUCUGACGCUGAGGUACGAAAGCGUGGGUAGCAAACAGG